CGCCGGCCCGGCAAAGCUCCCCUCGGCUCCGCACGCCUCGCUCCGGCGCGGCUCCGGCAGUCCCGCGCCAGCCCCGCCGCGCCCAAGUCCCCUUCCACCUCGGCAGCUCCCCAGGCAACGCCAGCAGCUCCCGCGCCACAGCCUUGGCUGCCGGGCCAGGGGCACAAGAAGCGCCCUCCAAUGCAGCGGCACAGCCCGAUUCCAACCCUUCAAACGCUGCGAGAGCUGCAGCUUCCUUCAAUUCAACCCCCGGAACUUACUCCACACUCAGAACACAGGGAUUCGCUGCCACCCCGGGAUACCCCUAACACCCUGGAAAAGGCAUGUUUUCCUUCAAUCAAGACCCUCAAAACCACGAGUGCACGGGAAUCCCACCCAGUUCAAACACAGGCAAUAAUGGAAGAGAAGUUGCUUCCCUCAUUUUGAAUUUCUUUUGUCUUAAUAAACCCUAGUUUGUUUGGG
This is a long non-coding RNA of Vidua chalybeata, 462 nucleotides long. RefSeq lists it as uncharacterized. The record is from RefSeq and is a predicted model, not a curated record. The transcript is spliced from 2 exons. Lineage: Eukaryota; Metazoa; Chordata; Aves; Passeriformes; Viduidae.